UCCUCUGUAGUUCAGUCGGUAGAASGGCGGACUGUUAAUCCGUAUGUCACUGGUUCGAGUCCAGUCAGAGGAGCCA
Molecule: transfer RNA, 76 nt
Filed under: Escherichia coli O157:H7 str. EDL933
Lineage: Bacteria; Pseudomonadati; Pseudomonadota; Gammaproteobacteria; Enterobacterales; Enterobacteriaceae
Description: tRNA-Asn (GTT) (tRNA-Asn-GTT-2-1)
Rfam family: tRNA
About the family: Transfer RNA (tRNA) molecules are approximately 80 nucleotides in length. Their secondary structure includes four short double-helical elements and three loops (D, anti-codon, and T loops). Further hydrogen bonds mediate the characteristic L-shaped molecular structure. tRNAs have two regions of fundamental functional importance: the anti-codon, which is responsible for specific mRNA codon recognition, and the 3' end, to which the tRNAs corresponding amino acid is attached (by aminoacyl-tRNA synthetases). tRNAs cope with the degeneracy of the genetic code in two manners: having more than one tRNA (with a specific anti-codon) for a particular amino acid; and 'wobble' base-pairing, i.e. permitting non-standard base-pairing at the 3rd anti-codon position.
Source: RNAcentral